GCUAUAAGUCUAGCUGCACCGGUGGUCAUCUUCAACAUCAGCUCCAUCAGCUCCAUCAGCUCCGAGCAAGGACGCCGACGGUUUCAUCCCAUAAAAUUAGUGAAAAUAAAAAGCAGCUGAGCUUGAGCGAUAUCCACCUGCGCAUUUAAAUUCUCACGAACGCCAUGAAUCCAACUCAAUGAAGAUUUCUUCAACUCACCAUACAUUUUUACCAAAUCCAAUGAGGUUGAGCUCUGGGAAGCUAAUACCACUACAUCGAUCUCACGAUUCGUUAGUUUUUGGAGGACAUCUUCCCCUCUCACAGUCCAUCACUUGAAUAGGUUCAUGAUAGGUAUGGUGGCUCGUUGGUCCUUCUUUGUUCCUCCUAAGAAGCUGGUGAUCUCCAGAUGAUUCUGCACUUGAUUGGGGAUACUUUCAUUUUGCUCACUGAUCAUCUUCUGAUUCUUUCCAAAGGAUUUAGUGAUCCACUCUUUUAUGGUCUCCUGUUUGCUAUUUUCAUCAUUGUAAUAGUUGUAUUACCUUGCGAUUAUCCUCUAUCUUCCAUACUUUCUUUAUCAUAUUGCUGUAGUUACUCUUCUCUAUUGAAAGAAUUUGUUCCUUCUCAUUAGAUAUAUCAGCUAGAGCAGCAAAAGAAUUGCCCCUA
Long non-coding RNA from Solanum dulcamara, 643 nucleotides. RefSeq lists it as uncharacterized. NCBI's taxonomy places the organism in Eukaryota, Viridiplantae, Streptophyta, Magnoliopsida, Solanales, Solanaceae. The record is from RefSeq and is a predicted model, not a curated record. The transcript is spliced from 4 exons.